Molecule: ribosomal RNA, 492 nt
Filed under: uncultured bacterium
Lineage: Bacteria
Description: partial 16S ribosomal RNA
Rfam family: Bacterial small subunit ribosomal RNA
Source: RNAcentral
AGUGAACGCUGGCGGUAGGCCUAACACAUGCAAGUCGAACGGCAGCACAGUAAGAGCUUGCUCUUACGGGUGGCGAGUGGCGGACGGGUGAGGAAUACAUCGGAAUCUACUUUUUCGUGGGGGAUAACGUAGGGAAACUUACGCUAAUACCGCAUACGACCUACGGGUGAAAGCAGGGGAUCUUCGGACCUUGCGCGAUUGAAUGAGCCGAUGUCGGAUUAGCUAGUUGGCGGGGUAAAGGCCCACCAAGUCGACGAUCCGUAGCUGGUCUGAGAGGAUGGUCGGCCACACUGGAGCUGAGACACGGUCCAUGCUCCUGCGGGAGGCAGCAGUGGGGAAUAUUGGGCAAUGGGCGCAAGCCUGAUCCAGCCAUACCGCGUGGGUGAAGAAGGCCUUCGGGUUGUAAAGCCCUUUUGUUGGGAAAGAAAAGCAGCAGGUUGAUACCCCGCUGUUCUGACGGUACCCAAAGAAUAAGCACCGGCUAACUUCGUG